RNAcentral lists this ribosomal RNA (451 nucleotides) under uncultured bacterium. RNAcentral's name for it is "partial 16S ribosomal RNA". It matches the Rfam family "Bacterial small subunit ribosomal RNA", at positions 28 to 507 of the family's 1533-position model. The record is from RNAcentral.
AGCGAACGCUGGCGGCAUGCCUAACACAUGCAAGUCGCACGGGGGGGCUUCGGCCUCCCAGUGGCGGACGGGUGAGGAACGCGUAGGGACCUGUCGAGGGGUGGGGGAUAACCGCGGGAAACUGCGGCUAAUACCGCAUGACGCCGCGGCGUGACAGCCGGGGCCAAAGGCGAAAGCCGCCCGCCGAGGGGCCUGCGUCCGAUUAGCUGGUUGGCGGGGUAGCGGCCCACCAAGGCGUCGAUCGGUAGCUGGUCUGAGAGGGUGAUCAGCCACACCGGGACUGAGACACGGCCCGGACUCCUACGGGAGGCAGCAGUGGGGAAUAUUGGACAAUGGGAGCAAGCCUGAUCCAGCAAUGCCGCGUGGGUGAAGAAGGUCUUCGGAUUGUAAAGCCCUUUCGGCGGGGACGAUGGUGACGGUACCCGCAGAAGAAGCCCCGGCUAACUUCGUG